CCUACGGGAGGCAGCAGUGAGGAAUAUUGCUCAAUGGACGAGAGUCUGAACCAGCCAAGCAGCGUGAAGGAUGACUGCCCUAUGGGUUGUAAACUUCUUUUCUAUGGGACUAAAAUGUUCCACGUGUGGGAUUUUGUAUGUACCAUAUGCAUCAGGAUAGGCUCACUCCGUGCCAGGCGCCGCGGUAAUACGGAGGUUCCGAGCGUUAUCCGGAUUUUGUGGGUUUAAAGGGAGCGUAGGUGGAUUGUUAAGUCAGUUGUGAAAGUGUGCGGCUCAACCGUAAAAUUGCAGUGGAAACUGGCAGUCUUGAGUACAGUAGAGGUGGGCGGAAGUCGUGGUGUAGCGGUGAAAUGCGUAGAUAUUACGAAGAACUCCGAUUGCGAAGGCAGUUCACUGGACUGCAACUGACACUGAGGCUCGAAAGUGUGGGUAUCAAACAGGAUUAGAUACCCGGGUAGUC
This 460-nucleotide ribosomal RNA is filed under the name uncultured bacterium. RNAcentral describes it as "partial 16S ribosomal RNA". It matches the Rfam family "Bacterial small subunit ribosomal RNA", at positions 338 to 795 of the family's 1533-position model. The record is from RNAcentral.